CGAAUCCGCACACACACUCCACAUUCUUCACCGAUUCCCCAAACACACCGCUGCUGCGCCGCUCACCUCUAACCCAACCACGCCGGCGGUGGCCCCCCUCCUCCCCCAAGCACCGGCGGCCUCCUCUUCCUCCAGCGCCGAACUCCAACCUUCUCCUUCUCUCCCAAGCGAAGGGAAAGAGGGAAGGCCCCAGAUCGGGCGAGACCAGAUCCACGGCGGCAUCGGCGCGCCAUCGUCGACCUGGGUUGCGACCACCAUGGUCGCCAUCAUCGUCUCCUCCAUGGAGGUCCUACCCGCCAGGAUCAAGCCGCGGCUUGAGUCUGCCAUGGGGAAUCCGCCCCGAUUGCAGCGUGUAGGCAGACACUUUAGGAAGAGGAAGAGGGAGGAGGGAGGGGACGGGGGAGGGCAGCGCCCGUAGCCGCGUGUGUGUGGCCGUGGCCCCGGAGCGGCAGAGGAGGGGUAGGGUGAUGCUCGCCGUGGCGGCCUCGACGGGCAACUACGUGGUGCCACCUUCCUCUAAGACCGGUCGCCUCAUGCUGCGGCUACUGGCAGUGGCGAAGCGAGUCUCCCACCUCACCACCACCGCUGCUUGCCAUCCGUCCCUCCUUCCAUCCAUGGCGGCGUCGACCUCCGGCGUCAGCAGGUUCAGCGCGGCGGCGGGCAACAACAAUGGCAGCGUCGGUCUCCAAGACCCCAUCCCGGCCUCUGUUGGAAUAUUUUCGGGCAUUGUCUCAUCAAUUUUACCGAACUCCUGAACACCAUAGAUUUGUGCGGCAACAGGUGGUCAAUCAGCACAGCUGUAUGUACAAGGAGCAGAGCGCAUCGGUUCAUGCUCGAGCCCCGAAGAAGGUAGCAAUGUUUGGGUUUUCCUCAAGGAUGUCAGACACUAUUUACAGUAUGUUAAAUGCAGACAAUGCUCUUGAUUUAUGAGAAUUAUUUAUUUACCUAGUGGAUCCCCAAUUAUAUAUCUGUCCCUAUCAAUGCAAAUGCUGAGCCAUGUUCCACUUUUACUGCUUUCCACAUCGACCGGGGCCUGCUUGAGCUGAGGGCUAGGGUGAGGGACGUGACGACGUCACAACUCAAGGCGACGGCUGCCAUCGGUCAAGUGUGGCUAGUCGAGGCUGCCCGUUGUGUUUCGUCGCAGUUGCAGGCCGCGAGAUCAAGCCGGGAAGGCUCCACGCAUUGACGAGUGAGCCAAUUUUUGGAUUGGACCAUAACAACUUGUCUCAGUCUCUGACGUCUAGAAGUAGUGGUAAAGUUUUGAAUUUGCAUGGCAAGAACCACUUACGUAGGUAGCUGACACACACAACAUUGUGUUUACACUCUUAUACUUAUGUAAAAGAUAUGAAUUAUAUAUGAGUUGCCUCUACAAUGAGGAACUGUGAUAGUAGAUACGGC
This 1398-nucleotide ribosomal RNA is filed under the name Triticum aestivum (bread wheat). Its description in RNAcentral is "partial small subunit ribosomal RNA". Lineage: Eukaryota; Viridiplantae; Streptophyta; Magnoliopsida; Poales; Poaceae. The record is from RNAcentral.